ACUUAAAAACCAGACAGACAGACUAUUUCUCACUUCUUUGACAAUGACAUUACGGAGAAUUGCGAUUGAUCGUAAUCAAACCCACUUCUGAAAAACUAUAUUUUCUUUUGCUUUUGGAUGUAUUUAAGGACUGAAAGAUGGAUUCGCAAAAACAAAACCAUUCAUCCGAUAUCGUUGAUGUUAGUAAUGCAUCAAGUUUAGUAUCCAAAAGCGAUUUCGAAAGUCUUGGUUUUGUAAUUGACAAUGGCAAACCCAGAUUUAAAUUGGAUGAACCUGUAUCCACAAAUUUCUUUUCAAAAGUUGAUUUAACUAAAUCAGAAAAUUCUCUUGAUGACAGCAAUACGUUAUCAUUUGUCAUACUGGGAAAGAAAUCGUUAGAUUCUAUACAAGCAUCAUCUAUAGCAACGUACAGCGAUAUUCAACAAAAAUGCAUGUCCAUUGAUUAUAAUUCAAUAAUAUCAUCUUUAAAUUCUUCCGAGAUACAACAAAAGUUAACAGAAUUAUUACAGGAGAAUGUCAAAUUAAAAGAAACGUUAAAACAAAAUACUAUAGCUAUGAAAAAACAAUUUAAUACUUUGGCAAUAUGGCAAGAAGAGGUAAUGAAUGUUCACAAAAAUCACAAGCAAAAGUUUACAGAAACCAGACAAUUGAUUAAUCUGCUUAAAGAAGAGAAUGCUGAAUUGAAAUUAAAACUUUAUAAUGUUAAUGCUGAUGAUACAACAGAUGGUACAAGGGAAUUUAAUCAUUCGAUUAUAAAGAAAUUUUGUUAUUCAAUUACUAAGGAAUUUGGUGAUUCUAUUAAUAUAAGUCACUUACAAGAGAAAAUAGCCUCUUUGACGGAUGAACUAAAUAAUUUUAAAUAUAAUUGUGCUAAAUUAUCUGACGAUGUUGACAAAUAUAUCAGUUUGUCAAGUUUGAUGAAUAUACAUUUGAAAAAAACUAGUAAUGCAACACAAGAGCUUGAUAUUCAAAUAAAUGAACCUGAAGAGCAAAAUCUUAUAUCCAAUAAGCCCGAAAAACAAAAUCUUAUAUCCGAUAAGCAAGAAGAGCAAAAACUUAUGUCGAAUAUGCCAGAAGAGCAAAAUCAUAUAUCGAAUAAGCCAGGAGAGCAAAAUCAUGUAUCAAGUAAGCCUGAAGAGCAAAGUCUUAUAUCGAAUAAGCCUGAAGAGCAAAGCCUUAUAUCGAAUAAGCCCAAAGAGCAAAGUCUUAAAAGAAAUAAAUUUGAAAAAGAUGAUAUCACGAAUUAUAUUCAAGUAGAAGAAAUAAAUGAACAUAGUCAUUUCCUUGCAGAUGAAAUAAAAUUGUUACAUAGUUCUAUAAAUGUUAAUAUGCAACAAAUGUCAGACCAUAUCAUUUCUCCUCAAAGUCAUUACUUUACUCAAAAUAUCAAAUUAUAUGGAGAAAUGUUGCAGGAAGUAACCAAUUGUUUUCUUGCACAAAUUGUUCGUCACUCUGCUAUUCAAAAAUGUACAAAGGACUGUAUAAAUAUAUUAGAUGCCUGCGAAGGUAUAAAAUUACCUAAACAAUCAGGCACAAUUGAAGAAAAUUGGUCGCUACAACUCGAUCAAAUACAAAUUUAUAAAGAUAAAUUAUCUACUUAUCAGAAGACGUUGCAUAAAGAGCAAUUGAAAUUAAUAGCAGAUAGACAAUGUUUUAUUAAGAUACAGAACCAAUUUCAAAAGAUAUUUUCUGAUUAUAAUUCCAUUUUGUACGAGUUACAAAUGAUGUCGGAAGAGAACAUUAAAUUAAAUUUAAUGAAAGAUAGUAUCUCUAAAGAAAAUUCACAAGAAAUAACUGAAUUAAAGAAACAAAAAAAUGAAUAUGAGCAAAAAUACAACGAAAUUAAAACUAUUCUAGAACAAGAAAGAGAAACCUGGAGCGAGCAAAAAAAGUUAUUUGAUAAUCUGAAAAACAGUUGGGGUAUGGAAUUGAAAUAUCUGAUGGAACAAAAAGAAAUGCUCUUUAGUUUACAGGGGGAAAAAGAAUUAGCGUGCAAACAAUGUCAAUUACACGAGAGUAAUAAAAAACUUUUACAAACGGAUAAAGAAACAUUAGAACGUAAUUAUAAACAAUUGACCACAGAGGUCGAUGCUUUGCGUAUUCAAUUAGAAGAGAAAGAACGUACCCUUCAAAGAAUUACUAUGAUCAAGGAAGAACUAGCUAAGGAAAUAACAGUACAAAAAAACGAAAUGGAAGUUUUGAAAAUGCAAAUUUCGUUUAACGAAGAAGAUUUCAAUUCUGAAAAGAAAAUUAAAGAGCAACUAUUACUUGAAAAAAGCGAACUACAGAGAGAAUUAGAAACUGCUUAUAAGAAAGUAUAUGCAUGUCAUUCAGAUCCAGAAUAAAAAUCGAGUCUUUAAAGAGAAACAAAAAUUUCUUGGUUGUGUCGAAAGAUUGGAAAAUGUGUUUUGGAAAAGACUUCGUCCUGUUAUAAUAGCCUUUUUAUUGCUAUUUCCGGGAGCGCUUUAUUGUUUUUACACCGAGGGUAGGUUGCUAGCCUCACCCUUAACUUGAAUAUAUAUGCAGUUAAUAAAUAUAAUGUUUAAAAUAUUCAAUUUAAUUCAAGUUUAAAGUUUCCUUCUUUAUUAAUUUAAAAAAAAAAAUAAUUGAUCUGUGUCAUAAGUAAUACUAUUUUAAUAUUUAUAGAUCAAACCAUUUUGAUUAUACAUUAGUUGUUUACACCAAUGAAAUAAAAGAUUUCUUCUUUUAUGUAAUUUA
This 2718-nucleotide unclassified non-coding RNA is filed under the name Polistes canadensis. RNAcentral describes it as "uncharacterized protein PFB0145c-like, transcript variant X1". Lineage: Eukaryota; Metazoa; Arthropoda; Insecta; Hymenoptera; Vespidae. The record is from RNAcentral.